UCAGUGGUGGUUCAGUGAUAGAAUGCUCCCCUUCCAUGUGGGAGACCCGGGUUCAAUUCCCAGCCAAUGCG
Molecule: transfer RNA, 71 nt
Filed under: Loxodonta africana (African savanna elephant)
Lineage: Eukaryota; Metazoa; Chordata; Mammalia; Proboscidea; Elephantidae
Rfam family: tRNA
About the family: Transfer RNA (tRNA) molecules are approximately 80 nucleotides in length. Their secondary structure includes four short double-helical elements and three loops (D, anti-codon, and T loops).
Source: Rfam by way of RNAcentral